UAAAACCAGCUCCUCGAGUGGUCGGGACGAUUAUUGGGCCUAAAGCGUCCGUAGCCGGCCCUGUAAGUCUUCGGUUAAAUCCCACGGCUUAACCGUGGGACUGCCGGGGAUACUGCAGGGCUUGGGGGCGGGAGAGGCCGGGGGUACUCCCGGGGUAGGGGUGAAAUCCUGUAAUCCCGGGGGGACCACCAGUGGCGAAGGCGCCCGGCUGGAACGCGCCCGACGGUGAGGGACGAAAGCCAGGGGAGCGAACCGGAUUAGAUACCCGGGUAGUCCUGGCUGUAAACGAUGCGGGCUAGGUGUUGGGUGGGCUUCGAGCCCGCCCAGUGCCGGAGGGAAGCCGUUAAGCCCGCCGCCUGGGGAGUACGGCCGCAAGGCUG
This 380-nucleotide ribosomal RNA is filed under the name uncultured archaeon. RNAcentral's name for it is "bacterial SSU rRNA". It matches the Rfam family "Archaeal small subunit ribosomal RNA", at positions 471 to 851 of the family's 1478-position model. The record is from RNAcentral.